This 3502-nucleotide long non-coding RNA is filed under the name Daphnia pulex (common water flea). RNAcentral's name for it is "uncharacterized LOC124192811, transcript variant X2". Lineage: Eukaryota; Metazoa; Arthropoda; Branchiopoda; Diplostraca; Daphniidae. The record is from RNAcentral.
AAAUGCACUACAAAACAAAACAAUAUAUAAGAUUAUUCAACAGUACAUGUGAGAUUAAAGCAGAAAUAUCACAUACAUGCCUACAGCCAUUCCCACAGCAGGAACCUCUGAGGAAGUGUCGCAAUCUGGUAGUCACCUUCUUUCCAAGUUUGGUGUCAUCAUAGCUUCCAGGAAUUUCUCUCUGGCUGCCCUCUGUCUUUCGUUCAGUUUCUUCCCAAACAGGCCAGAUUGCUCCUCUUCAGGAGAAGAAAUUCCGCUGCGUCUUGACAUCUGGACAGGCUCAUCAGUGACAAGAAGGGAAAACACUUACGACAAGGAAAUAGGAGCCCAAAUGAUUGCCGAGCGGCGACCUGAAAUUUGAAGAAAAAUAGAAUUUCUUAUCUGACGAAAAGUGUCGUGAAUGAUAUUUUCGUCCCAUCGCUCUUCUUGUGAAACAUUUGCGGCGCAUAAAUUAUGCGCUCAGGAGAAGAAUAUGAGAGAGUCUAGUUCGGGGAGUGACGUAAUUUUAGAUGGGAUACGUCUCGUGGCGAGGACCAACGACGACGACGUCUUGCUGCUCCAUGGUGUCCGUUUCUUUUUCCAGUUAGCCAAGCAUCAAUAAUCUUACCCCCCUUGGAAGUUUCAGCUGUUUCGAAAAACUUGGUCCUGCGACAAAAUGUCCUUUUCACAGACCCGUAUGAGGACAUAAUUCAAUAUGGAACCAGCUACAACCCGCGCGACCCAUUGAGGGCCAACACACAAAAAAAAACAGCCUAAGAAGAAGUACAAGAAAGAGCAGACUCGGAUCAAGUAUAUCGAAGCUCCUUUUUCUUUCUAAAUGUAAUAAUAUAUAGUAUAAGGGAGAAAGUCUUUUGAUGAUGGACCCUGCCUGCCCGGUCCCGGUGUCUCUACUCUAUCCCCCCAGCAUGCAGACAUUAUUGUACACACACAGGAGCAGCAGGAGGAGCUGUGGCAGCUGCUGUAAUGCUCAAUACCCCCACCAACCCCCUCUUAUAUUAUAGAAAGGAGGGGGGAAUUUUCAUACACAUACACAAAAAAAAAUCCCGUGCAUGUACGCGUAUGUGUCGCGUUUGGAUGUGUGUGUGUGUGUAUAAAUAGGAAAUGGGGAGCAUUGCAGCAGUUCCAAAUAAAGUGGGUAGUACUACUACUACUACUACGACGUCGUCGUCGUCGUAGUAAAUAUAACCACCUGGCCAUCACCCCUCCCUCCCUCCUAGUUUUUCAAGAGACUUUUCAGCCCGAUAGAUCCGAUUAUGUAAAGAGUUUUUUUUUUUUUAUUUAUUUAUUUCCACCAUUUUAUCGCGCAAGUUCCUAUACACAAUUUCGGAAUUGUUUCACAUCAGCCUUUUUUUUCCUUCGUUCCUCUUACAAAUUUUCACCAGUCGAUUUAUUUUUUCAACCCCAAAAAUAAAUUGUGUUGCGUCUAUCUCUAGAGUCUCUUGCAUAUUAUAACAAUGCGGAAGCAUUUAUUCCCAUUUUCUUAUUAUUCUUCUUGCCAUUAUUAUUUAUUCACCCCUUUUAAUGUAUAUAGAGCACAAUCUCCCUAUAGUUUUUUUUUUAUUAUUAAAUUCAAUAGGUGUGUGUGUAUAGACUCGUGGAAAGUAGACCGUAGAUAACUAGGUGGUACUAUAGCAGUUUGAAUAAAAAAAUUGAAAAGGGGUAGCAGUAGAGUCUUGUUAAAGUGCAGCUUCACACAUGAAGAGAGAAGCUUUCAAGUUCUUUCAAGUCGCUCAUUGAACUAAUCAAAAGCCUCGUUAUGUGCAUUAUACGAUGAUAUAGCGCAUCUCAAUCAAAGCGUGCACACGAGAAGAUGGGAGAGCUAUCUAAAGAAUGAAUAUUAGCAAUUGAAAUUCUCCAGCGCAUAUGUUACCGUCGAAUUUAGUACGUACGAUUCGAGUUCGACCAGACGGAAGAACCCCACGAAGUUUUUUUAAUUUUGUGGUUUAAACUUGAAAUAUAUUAUCGUUUAAGGAAAUUUGUCAUUUCAAGUCGGCCCAAAAUUAGGGGAGGGGUUUUUUGGCGACGGUGAUGGACCGUCACGAACCCAUAUGGUGGAACUUGCACGGUUGACUAUAACAUAUACUAUUUCUAGGGGAAAACUCUGAAAUUCCGGUUUUUGCGGUUGGAAAAAGCUGCGACAGGCGCGCCCAUGUAUAGUUUCACGUCGACCAGACAGAGAGAUUUAUUUACACGAAGAAGAGGGGGGAAAUGAUUUUCCCAUCGAUUGAAUAUAAUCCAACCCAAAAAAGUUUUUUUUUCAAAUCAUUUGGACGCUGCGGUAGAACAUUGUCCGGCCUCUCUACUGCCGACGCCAUUUAUACAUCUUUUAUGUUUUGUGAUUGCGCGAUUGAAUGGCCAUCACACAGUAAAGUCACAGCUAAAGGAAAAAGUGCAUAGGGUGUACCUCUAUAUAUAUAUGUAGGCCAUAGAUAUUUUUCUAUUGAAAUGGGCGCAGGCGCUAUUGAAUAACUUCACAUCGGACCCCUCCUGGGAAAUGGGAAAAGGGAAAAAAACAUUCGUCGACCAACACGAUCGACGUCGACGCUGCUGCCUAUAGCGAAUAGAAUAAAGCAGCGUCGCGGCGUAUAUGAUGAUAUACAUUAUAAAUAUAUUUGUAUCGGAAUUAUUGAUUUUUCCGAUGGCGGGCACAAUAAAAGCCGAGGGGGGAAGCAUCACAACAACAUGGGGAAAAAAUCUGGAAUAAAAUAAAAUAAAGAAGAAAAUGAAAUACUAGAAGAAGACGGGAAAAAAAGGUUCUCACCCAACGUUCAUUCGGAGGAGGGGCGGCCCGGCCUAUUGUGUACAUGUUCCGCUGGAAAAAUAUAAAACGCGGCGCGGUCAAAAACUUGUAUGGAUAACUUUUCUCUUUAUGGACUGCUGCUGCUGCUGCUGGCUUUUCGGAGAUAUAUAUAUAUAUUUUUAUGUGUGUGUUGUUAUUUACUAGGAAUCUGAUCCAGCCGAGGAUUCCGAUUGCAUCCGGGAAAUGAAAUCUAUCAUAAAAAGGGGGAUUUCAAACAGAGAAAAACGACGCGCUACUAUAAUAUGUCACGUAAAAAGGAGCUCAACUUUUGAUUGACACUCGUAACGUUUUUUUCUUCUUAUCCCCUGUCAACAUAAACGGUGAACUCGAUCCGUCGUCCAACUGUAAAAAUCUGGAACAUGUAACGGGAAUUUCCAACUAUAGAAGGAUUCCCGGAGCGAAAGGAACGCCGACCGCUGGAACAAAUAAACCCCGUCGUGAAAAUCGUCUCGUGAUGCACACCGUCUCUUCCCAGCACAGGGGGGAUUAUUGUAUGUCUAUCGUUAAAUGUAAUCUCUUCAUCCAGUUAGAACCGUGUAGACCCUCUAACCAGUUAUUAACUCUAUAUAUUUCUUGAUGAUUGGAACAUGAAGGCUCACAAUGACGAUGAUGAUCAUUACGGUACUGGACACACCUUGACCUCAUAACAGAAAAAGGAUUUCUCCGGCUGGAUAUUUCCAGUCGAUUGAAUUUAAAAAUUUU